Lentinula aff. detonsa is the source of this 73-nucleotide non-coding RNA. The record is from the annotation of a GenBank genome assembly. Lineage: Eukaryota; Fungi; Basidiomycota; Agaricomycetes; Agaricales; Omphalotaceae.
GGUUCAGUGGUCUAGUGGUUAUGAUUUGUGCUCCACCCUCACAAGGUCCCCGGUUCGACACCGGGCUGAACCC